RNAcentral lists this long non-coding RNA (206 nucleotides) under Elaeis guineensis (African oil palm). RNAcentral's name for it is "long non-coding RNA (EGUI_LNC036771)". Lineage: Eukaryota; Viridiplantae; Streptophyta; Magnoliopsida; Arecales; Arecaceae. The record is from RNAcentral.
CUGCUACUGAUCAGGUUCUGGUCAUUAUGUACUUUCUGCGUUGACGGUUUCUGAUAUGCCGACUCUAUGUCGGUAGUCUGAAUAUGUCGACUAUAUAUUGAUAAUUGUAGAAAUUCGGAUGAUCAUUGAUCGAUAAUUCUAAUAUGCCGAUAGCCAUCGAUUUGAAGUCAGUUGAGCUAUCAUAGUUAGAGUUUGUCAGGGAGGUU